Molecule: transfer RNA, 69 nt
Filed under: Chalcides ocellatus
Lineage: Eukaryota; Metazoa; Chordata; Lepidosauria; Squamata; Scincidae
Description: tRNA-Met
Rfam family: tRNA
About the family: Transfer RNA (tRNA) molecules are approximately 80 nucleotides in length. Their secondary structure includes four short double-helical elements and three loops (D, anti-codon, and T loops). Further hydrogen bonds mediate the characteristic L-shaped molecular structure. tRNAs have two regions of fundamental functional importance: the anti-codon, which is responsible for specific mRNA codon recognition, and the 3' end, to which the tRNAs corresponding amino acid is attached (by aminoacyl-tRNA synthetases). tRNAs cope with the degeneracy of the genetic code in two manners: having more than one tRNA (with a specific anti-codon) for a particular amino acid; and 'wobble' base-pairing, i.e. permitting non-standard base-pairing at the 3rd anti-codon position.
Source: RNAcentral
AGUAGAGUCAGCUAAUUGAGCUUUCGGGCCCAUACCCCGAGAAUGUUGGUUUAAACCCUUCCUCUACUA